Molecule: ribosomal RNA, 481 nt
Filed under: Octogomphus specularis
Lineage: Eukaryota; Metazoa; Arthropoda; Insecta; Odonata; Libellulidae
Description: eukaryotic LSU rRNA
Source: RNAcentral
UCUGGGAGUAAACGGGUGGUACCCGAAAGUUCGAAAGGGGAGAUUCAAGUCUCGCCGCGCGCCGGGCGGCGGACGCGACCAGAGAUGGUGUUUUCGCGGUCGAGGGGCAACUCUCGUCCCGGAGGCUCCACUCCGCGGCCGCCGUCUGUCCCGGCGUCGGAGUGACGCACUUCUCCCCGAGUAGGACGUCGCGACCCGUCGAGCGCCGGUCUAAGGUUCCGGGUGGAGUCUGUGCAGUCUGUUUCGGCCGACUGCGCACGACCCCGGGAAUCCCGGCCGGGUGCACGACGGUACGAAGCAUGGAAGGAGUCGACGCGCCACCAGUUGGCGUCCGGCCCUCCGCAAGCGCCCGCGGGAGUUCUGGUUGCAGGCCUGGCCUGAUUCCGUUCCCUCCGCGGGGCUGUUUGCGACCAGGAGGUGUCCUCGGACGGCGUUGAUUCUCCAGUCGGCGACGCUUCAGCUUGGAUGGCCUACCCGACCC